RNAcentral lists this ribosomal RNA (253 nucleotides) under uncultured bacterium. RNAcentral describes it as "partial 16S ribosomal RNA". It matches the Rfam family "Bacterial small subunit ribosomal RNA", at positions 524 to 776 of the family's 1533-position model. The record is from RNAcentral.
UACAUAGGUGGCGAACGUUAUCCGGAAUUAUUGGGCGUAAAGCGCACGUAGGCGGUCUGUUAAGUCGGAUGUGAAAGCCCCGGGCUCAACUCGGGAAGUGCAUUCGAAACUGGCAGGCUUGAAUAUGGAAGAGGGUCGCGGAAUUCCCGGUGUAGAGGUGAAAUUCGUAGAUAUCGGGAGGAACACCAGUGGCGAAGGCGGCGACCUGGGCCAAUAUUGACGCUGAGGUGCGAAAGCGUGGGGAGCAAACAGG